Molecule: long non-coding RNA, 401 nt
Organism: Mustela erminea (ermine)
Lineage: Eukaryota; Metazoa; Chordata; Mammalia; Carnivora; Mustelidae
Exons: 3
Source: RefSeq, a predicted model, not a curated record
UGCAGUGAGUGUGCUGGGUUCCUUACUGAAGUAUAAAUACCUUCAGAAAAGCGCACAGAUCAUAAAUUGAAUUUAUGAGCCAAUGCACCCAUAAUGGAGGACUUAAAAGACUUCACCCUGUGGCUAAGCCUCGGAUGCCAGCCUUGAAUUUCCCGGCUCCCUGCACCCGGCCGCACAGUCAGAUCUCGAACAACCCGACCGUGUUUGUGUGGCGACUGUUUCGGAACAGCAGUUUGAAAUCUAUGGAGGAACGGAAAGGAGGAAGACACUGUCAGGAGGUUGAGGCCGAGAACAGAGAAGGAAACCGGAUGUGCUCCCUCUGGUGCCUGGCCGGUGGCCGUGGUGUGGUUGUCCCCGGCUCUGGGUCUUCACUCACUGCUGAUCUCGCUCAGUCUCUAGAG